AGGUCAAAGGAUCAUUUGCACAACUUCCACUAGAGAACAAUCAGCUAACAUGUAAAUAAGACUCUAUCAAAUAUUUUUUCAUAGAUCAAUUCAGUAAGCUCAUUCUCUAAUAAGCAUCCACAUCUUUAUAUUAGUGUCACCACACAAGUGGUCAUGAGAUCAACCACCCUCACCAAUGAGCAUACAUAAAAUAUGCCAGUCAUACUAGUAUCAUUAAUCUCCAACUUAAUGAAUCAGUGACUAA
RNAcentral lists this long non-coding RNA (244 nucleotides) under Elaeis guineensis (African oil palm). RNAcentral's name for it is "long non-coding RNA (EGUI_LNC064791)". Lineage: Eukaryota; Viridiplantae; Streptophyta; Magnoliopsida; Arecales; Arecaceae. The record is from RNAcentral.